Molecule: non-coding RNA, 147 nt
Organism: Caenorhabditis elegans
Lineage: Eukaryota; Metazoa; Nematoda; Chromadorea; Rhabditida; Rhabditidae
Source: Ensembl
UUCAAUGUGCUCUAUGAGAAUUGAAAGAAAGAGGAAGAGCACCGUCGAGAAAAUAAAAACACAAAUAAAGCGCGAUAAGAGACUCUUGCGAGGAACGACGGCGGCCUUGUUUUUUCCGGGUUAAAUUUGUUUGUUCUGUUGGGAAUA